RNAcentral lists this ribosomal RNA (253 nucleotides) under uncultured archaeon. RNAcentral describes it as "partial 16S ribosomal RNA". It matches the Rfam family "Archaeal small subunit ribosomal RNA", at positions 474 to 727 of the family's 1478-position model. The record is from RNAcentral.
UACCGGCAGCUCAAGUGGUCGUCGCUUUUAUUGGGCCUAAAACGUCCGUAGCCUGUUCUAUAAGUUUCCGGUUAAAUCCAUACGCUCAACGUAUGGGCUGUCGGAAAUACUGCAGAACUAGGGAGUGGGAGAGGUAGACGGUACUCGAUAGGAAGAGGUAAAAUUCUUUGAUCUAUUGAUGACCACCUGUGGCGAAGGCGGUCUACCAGAACACGUUCGACGGUGAGGGAUGAAAGCUGGGGGAGCAAACCGG